RNAcentral lists this long non-coding RNA (1361 nucleotides) under Homo sapiens (human). Its description in RNAcentral is "HSALNT0198591". Lineage: Eukaryota; Metazoa; Chordata; Mammalia; Primates; Hominidae. The record is from RNAcentral.
GGAACAUCAACUUUGCUUACCUUUUGGCCCAGCAGUACACUGUUACGGACUUAUUUUAAGGCUAAAGUAGUCAAGUGCACAGAGUUAUGCAGACCUUCUAUAAUAACGAAAAAGGAGUACACAAUCUUGAACACAAGGAGGGUCUGGGGCAAGAUUUCAGAGCAAGCAGAGUGAAUGUGAAUACUAACUUCAACUAGGAGCAGAAGUCACACAUGGGAGACAAACCAGGGGUGAUGGGAACGCCACAGCUUGACACGCAGAAUCCAGUUGAGUGAAGUUACUUGGCCUUCCCUUGAUGUUGUCCAACUCUCGUGCUUGUGUUGACUGAACAGAGGCCCUGCCUGUGGUAGAAGAGCCAACAAUAAAAGCAGAAUCCCACCAAGUCCAAAUGAGCCCUGGUUUGAAGCUGGCUGCCUCCUGUGCUUACGAAAUGGGCUGUAAGAGAAGACAGAGCAAGAAAAGCAGCAUUUGGAGCUGGGCACGGUGGCUCACGCCUAUAAUCCCUGCAUUUUGGAGGGCCAAAGCUGGAGGACUGCUUGAGGCUGAAUGUUCGAGAACAGGCUGGGCAACAGAACGAGACACCAUCUCUACAAAAAAAUUUAAAAUUAGCUGGGCAUGAUAACAGGCCCUGUAGUCCUAGCUACUUGGGAGGCUGGGGCAGGAGGACUGCUUCAGCCCAAGAAUUUGAGGUUUCAGGGAGCUGUGAUUGCACCACUGCACUCUAGCCUGGGUGACAGUGUGAGACCCUGUCCCUCUCUCACCAAAAAAGGGGUUUGGCUUGGACAAUAGAUCAUAUUGUCACCCUAUUAAUAACUAACUUACUGAGUGCUUCAUAUGAGCCAAACACUGCAUCAGUUGUCCACAGCCUAUGCUAUACUGCCUUACCAAAGAGAGGAAGGUGUCAACUGUAUCCUUGGGGUAAACAAAAGUGGCAAUGUUUGUUGACCACGCAUAGGAACAAAAACAUUAAAACAAAUAGCUUUCCCAUUCUAUGAAGCUAGCACAGCAUUUUGGAAUGAUUCUAAAAAUAACACCAAAAAAUACAAAUGUUUGGUAAACAUAGUUAUCACCUGAAUUCUCUGAAUAUUUUGUCAUGAGCUUAAGUUGUAAGCAUGUAAUCUCAUAAACUUGCUAAGUAUUCUCUAACAUUUCACAAUCUCACUAGUCUAAUUUAAAUAACAUUACAUUAAAAGUUUGGUAUCAAAUUAUUACAGAGCUAAGUCACUGUGAUAAAAUACCUUUUUUACUUAUGACCAUUGAGAAAAUGUACUGUGGUGAGAAGCUGCAUAUAUAUUAACAGGUAAGACAAUCUCUGGUACAAGUCCUUGUUAUGGUGGUAAUUCAACUCAUCCUGAAGCAGA